UAGGUUAUUAAAAAUUAUGAGUUUCACGAGGCUGAAAAAAAAAAAAGGCACAAAUAUUUUUUUCCAUUAUGACACAUCUCUUAAUGCCCAUCCAUACAACUUUCUACAGGAUGUCAAAAUUAAUCUAGAUAAAGCAUAUGAUCCGAUGAAUGAGAAAAGCUUCCCAACAUCUACCUAUGAAUUUCAUAAGAGAAUUCAAUUAAAAGAUGUAUAUCUAGAGGCUCCCUCAUUUAAAUCAUACAAUUACGGGCAAUCACAUCAGAAGUAAGCUGUCUAACUGAUUCAAUAAUUUGAUAACUUUACAAAAUGUUGUGAAAAUGAGAAAAUAAUUUGGG
This 335-nucleotide long non-coding RNA is filed under the name Amborella trichopoda. Its description in RNAcentral is "long non-coding RNA (ATRI_LNC003352)". The record is from RNAcentral. Lineage: Eukaryota; Viridiplantae; Streptophyta; Magnoliopsida; Amborellales; Amborellaceae.